AACGAACGCUGGCGGCAUGCCUAACACAUGCAAGUCGAACGAGACCGUCGGGUCUAGUGGCGCACGGGUGCGUAACGCGUGGGAACCUUCCCUUAGGUUCGGAAUAACUCCCCGAAAGGGGUGCUAAUACCGGAUAAUAUCUUCUGCCCCAAGAUUUAUCGCCUCGGGAUGGGCCCGCGUUGGAUUAGCUAGUUGGUAGGGUAAAAGCCUACCAAGGCGACGAUCCAUAGCUGGUCUGAGAGGAUGAUCAGCCACACUGGGACUGAGACACGUCCCAGACUCCUACGGGAGGCAGCAGUGGGGAAUAUUGGACGAUGGGCGAAAGCCUGAGCUAGCAAGGCCGCGUGAGUGAUGAGGGCCUUAGGGUUGUAAAGCUCUUUGAACCGGGAUGAUAAUGACAGUACCGUGAGAAUAAGCGCCGGCUAACUACGUG
This 433-nucleotide ribosomal RNA is filed under the name uncultured bacterium. Its description in RNAcentral is "partial 16S ribosomal RNA". It matches the Rfam family "Bacterial small subunit ribosomal RNA", at positions 29 to 507 of the family's 1533-position model. The record is from RNAcentral.